UACGUAGGGCGCGAGCGUUGUCCGGAAUUAUUGGGCGUAAAGAGCUCGUAGGCGGCCGGUUGCGUCUGCUGUGAAAUCCCGGGGCUUAACCCCGGGCGUGCAGUGGAUACGGGCCGGCUGGAGGCAGGCAGGGGAGAAUGGAAUUCCCGGUGUAGCGGUGAAAUGCGCAGAUAUCAGGAGGAACACCAGCGGCGAAGGCGGCGCUCUGGGCCGGUACUGACGCUGAGGAGCGAAAGCGUGGGUAGCAAACAGG
This 253-nucleotide ribosomal RNA is filed under the name uncultured bacterium. Its description in RNAcentral is "partial 16S ribosomal RNA". It matches the Rfam family "Bacterial small subunit ribosomal RNA", at positions 524 to 776 of the family's 1533-position model. The record is from RNAcentral.